ACGUGUGUGCUCGACAUCGGUUCUCUCUGAUGACGAUGAACGUUUUCACGGUGUGCUGAUCCCCUCCCUCCCCCUCCAUGUACUGCUCCCGUUUUCACAUGCACACCCAAAAAAGCCUACGCCGUAGUGGUACAGGUAUACAUAUACAUACAUAUAGGCUUCCCGUUUCUGUUUUGGCUCAUUUUCUUUGUUUUUGAUCGCCGACUCUCGCUUGCCUCUCCCCUUCUCCCUCUACCCUCUCUCCCCUCUGUCUGUCUGUUUCCUCUGUUGUUACCGUAUUUCUUUCUCUUGUUUGUUUUUAUGGCCCACAAGAGAAGCACAAGGAACGAUGCCGGGCACGAAAAAAAGCGGUGCUCAGAACUCAGGCAUCUGCAGACACACCCGCACACAUUCCUAUACCACACAUGCUCAUGUGCCAGGCAUGCCGCUUCUAUUCAGGUGCGUACUCUUGCUAUACAAUCUCUAAGGCGCCCCUAUCUACGUGCUUGUCUGCAUCUGGACUUGUGUCUGCGCGCCUGUAUGUGCGUAAAGGAGUGUGCGUGCAUGCGUGUGUCGCCAUAUAUAGUUUUCUGCCCUCUUCUUGCGUUGUUUGUAUACGUCUUUUUCAUUGCCCCCCCCCCCCCCCCCGGUUGUUUGAGACGUCGGGCCCUCCCUUUCGAUCAUCGUCUCGUCUCUUCUUCUAACGUGCCAUUGAGCUUCUUUGGUCUUUCUGCUAUUCUGUCAGAAGCCACAGCCCUCUUAUCCUCCUCCACGUCGCUUUCCUUCCCAUUCUUUCUUGCACUCUCUCGCAUUUCGCUCUUUUCUUUUUUUCCUUGUGCUUGCGGCGUCCCAUACUUCGCACGCGCCCGUACACUUGGUACAGGUAUGUGCGCUUGCUGUUGCACUCUGCUUGUCUCGUUCCUUUUUGCGCACCAUGUUCGAUGUGCAGCGUGUCCCUGUCUCCCUGCAUGGAGGUGUGUGCCGCGCUUUUUCACGCACGUUGCGGGAAGGGAGGCGGAGGGGAGGCAGCAGAGGACAGAGAAAAAAAAGCGAAGAACCGAAAAACGAAGCGGCGGUGGAAUGCAGCAGACAGUCAAACGUGAGCACCAUAAAUGGAGGAUGGCUCACCGUUCUGGGUCUGAUGGCAUUGCCAGCAACAGGUCCAGCAGUGAAUCCGCCAAGCUGAACAAUGAGCGAAGAAAAUCUACCCCCCUCCCUCCCUUCCCCACAUACAUCUAAUUGCACAUAUGCGCUUUUAACUGCUGUCGCAUUCUGACGCGAGAGAGGGUGGAGAGGGAGAAGGGCAAGGGCUGCGUAGCGAGGACACAGACACGCGUGCAAACACAGACGUAUACACACACCUUUCCUACCGGCCUUCUCUCUCCUCUCGCCGUUACCUUCUGCCUUUCAGACGCACAUGCCUACGGCUGUUUAAGUGUAUUCUGUAUUUCUCUUCGUAACGCUCGAGCCGAUAUGACUAGAAGUUACGCAUGCUCUCUCGUCUGCAUGCACAUGUGCUUGUAUGGAGGCGCUGAUCUGUGCACGGACACAGAGGUAUGCGUAUCCCCUCUCUCCCUCUCUCCCUCUCUCCCUCUCUCCCUCUCUCCCUUUCUCCCCCCUCUCUCCCUCGCUCGCUCCUUCGCUCUCUGCCUUUCUUUUGUGUGCAGUUCUGUGGAUGCUCUUUUCUGUUUCCUUUUGCGUUGUCUUCAUAUAUUUAUAUAUGCAUGCAAAUAAAUAUAUGCAUUCAGUCCUUUGCUUUCCUAUCUCUUCGGUUUUUUGUAUUUUCCUGCUUGGAAAACUGCAAACUCUUUUCCGUGCGUGUGUGCCGUCGGCUUUGCUGCUCCCCCUCCCCAAAUGACGCCUGCUCUCUCGUGUCUUUUCUUGAGCAGGAGGAGUAGAGGAGCGGGCGGGAUGCAGAAGUGUAAGAGUGACUGAUGGCUUCCGUUUUUUUUUUUUACCCAGGGUGAGGGUCUCCUCGUUUCCUUUCCGAUAUUGUCCGAUUGCCCGGACAAAACCGCACACGCACCAACACUAGACCUACCAAGGCCGCUCUCUUUUCCGAGGAAAACAGAGGGAGUGGGUGGACACGCGCAGCGUCUUCUAUCUGUGGUUUCUCUCCACACCUCCGUGAGCCGGAGAGAUGACGGCGGAGUAGCGGCGAGGCAAUAUAUAUAUAUAUAUAUAUAUAUAUGUAUGUAUGUAUAGACAUGAGGGAAGAGUGUGGCGCAUGCUACACCAAAAAAGACCCGUGCUUCCCCCCAUGCACUUGAUGGGCCCCUGAUACCGCAAGUAAGCACCCUCUUUGCGCCACCGAUACGUCAUCAAAGCCUCGACCUUCACCUUUUCUCCUCUUCUGCACUAUUUAAUAAGUUCGUCUCUUUCUUGAUGUGGUGACCGGCGCAGGUGUGCAACGCCGCUCGCGGCGCGACAGCACCAAAGUCUCAUU
Molecule: unclassified non-coding RNA, 2425 nt
Filed under: Leishmania donovani
Lineage: Eukaryota; Euglenozoa; Kinetoplastea; Trypanosomatida; Trypanosomatidae
Description: gene:unknown
Source: RNAcentral